GACAAACUCGGAAAAUCUCACAGCUCCUCUUGGAGUCAUCCUUUUUCCAGGCUGAGGUCCCCGGGGGCCUGGCUCUUCCUGGCUGGACUCUGAAACUUCCAGAACCAGGACUGAAGCACUGUUCAGAAAGAAACAGAGGCAAAUGGAAGAUUUUACCUCUGGCAGUCUGCUGUGGAAUUGCUGUGGUAAGGUUGACAAGGAAGUAAUUUACCUCUUCACUGGAAUGCAUGGUCCUAAUUCCAGAACCAACCAAUAACCACUCCUGCGGGAAGAUACUAAUCAUCCCUUCCACUUGUUUUGCAAAUCAUCCAAAACCCCUACAACAGAACCAAGUGUUGGUACUGUGUAAAUUUGCACAAUCAAUAUCAAGUAAUGCCUGGAUCAGCUUCCUGUGGAACAUUUCAGUUACUCUACACCUGGAAAGCAGUGGCCAGAACAGCCUACUUAAAUAA
RNAcentral lists this long non-coding RNA (452 nucleotides) under Dasypus novemcinctus (nine-banded armadillo). Its description in RNAcentral is "lncRNA (ENSDNOG00000050756.1)". The record is from RNAcentral. Lineage: Eukaryota; Metazoa; Chordata; Mammalia; Cingulata; Dasypodidae.